RNAcentral lists this ribosomal RNA (376 nucleotides) under uncultured bacterium. RNAcentral's name for it is "bacterial SSU rRNA". It matches the Rfam family "Bacterial small subunit ribosomal RNA", at positions 524 to 898 of the family's 1533-position model. The record is from RNAcentral.
GACAGAGGGGGCAAGCGUUGCUCGGAAUCACUGGGCGUAAAGGGCGCGUAGGCGGGAUGGCAAGUCGGUCGUGAAAUCCCUGGGCUCAACUCAGGGGGGUCGGCCGAUACUGCCAUUCUUGAGGGAUGCAGAGGAGACUGGAAUUCCCGGUGUAGCGGUGAAAUGUGUAGAGAUCGGGAGGAACACCGGUGGCGAAGGCGGGUCUCUGGGCAUUCCCUGACGCUGAGGCGCGAAAGCGUGGGGAGCAAACGGGAUUAGAUACCCCGGUAGUCCACGCGGUAAACGAUGACGACUAGGUGUGGGGGGGUUAAGUCCCUUCCGUGCCGCAGCUAACGCAUUAAGUCGUCCGCCUGGGGAGUACGGCCGCAAGGUUGAA